RNAcentral lists this non-coding RNA (28 nucleotides) under Mus musculus (house mouse). The record is from RNAcentral. Lineage: Eukaryota; Metazoa; Chordata; Mammalia; Rodentia; Muridae.
UAACAGUGUUGUGCAAAUGAACUGAAGA